AUCAUGGAGAGUUUGAUCCUGGCUCAGAACGAACGCUGGCGGCGCGUCUUAAGCAUGCAAGUCGGGCGGCAAGGGGGAGCAAUCCCUCCUAGAGCGGCGGACUGGUGAGUAACGCGUGGGUGACCUGCCCUGAGGACGGGGAUAGCCAUUAGAAAUAGUGGGUAAUACCGGAUAUGGUUAUCGUGCUAUGGCAUGGUAAAGAAAGGAGCUAAGGCUCCGCCUCGGGAUGGGCCCGCGUCCCAUUAGCUAGUUGGAGGGGUAAGAGCCUGCCAAGGCGAUGAUGGGUAGCCGGCCUGAGAGGGUGAACGGCCACACUGGGACUGAGAUACGGCCCAGACUCCUACGGGAGGCAGCAGCUAAGAAUAUUCCGCAAUGGGCGAAAGCCUGA
This 388-nucleotide ribosomal RNA is filed under the name Treponema sp. Its description in RNAcentral is "bacterial SSU rRNA". It matches the Rfam family "Bacterial small subunit ribosomal RNA", at positions 1 to 386 of the family's 1533-position model. Lineage: Bacteria; Pseudomonadati; Spirochaetota; Spirochaetia; Treponematales; Treponemataceae. The record is from RNAcentral.